UUGGGAGCUCUCCCAUAUGGUCGACCUGCAGGCGGCCGCGAAUUCACUAGUGAUUCGUAUUACCGCGGCUGCUGGCACAGAGUUAGCCGGUGCUUAUUCUGCGAGUAACGUCCACUAUCUCUAGGUAUUAACUAAAGUAGCCUCCUCCUCGCUUAAAGUGCUUUACAACCAUAAGGCCUUCUUCACACACGCGGCAUGGCUGGAUCAGGCUUGCGCCCAUUGUCCAAUAUUCCCCACUGCUGCCUCCCGUAGGAGUCUGGGCCGUGUCUCAGUCCCAGUGUGGCGGAUCAUCCUCUCAGACCCGCUACAGAUCGUCGCCUUGGUAGGCCUUUACCCCACCAACUAGCUAAUCCGACUUAGGCUCAUCUAUUAGCGCAAGGUCCGAAGAUCCCCUGCUUUCUCCCGUAGGACGUAUGCGGUAUUAGCAUUCCUUUCGAAAUGUUGUCCCCCACUAAUAGGCAGAUUCCUAAGCAUUACUCACCCGUCCGCCGCUAAGAUCGGUAGCAAGCUACCUCUCUCCGCUCGACUUGCAUGUGUUAAGCCUCCCCCCAGCGUUCAAUCUGAGCCAUGAUCAAACUCUAAUCGAAUUCCCGCGGCCGCCAUGGCGCCCGGGAGCAUGCGAC
This 623-nucleotide ribosomal RNA is filed under the name uncultured Gammaproteobacteria bacterium. RNAcentral's name for it is "partial 16S ribosomal RNA". Lineage: Bacteria; Pseudomonadati; Pseudomonadota; Gammaproteobacteria. The record is from RNAcentral.